This 289-nucleotide long non-coding RNA is filed under the name Lathyrus oleraceus (garden pea). Its description in RNAcentral is "Pisum sativum (pea) long non-coding RNA (PSAT_LNC021759)". Lineage: Eukaryota; Viridiplantae; Streptophyta; Magnoliopsida; Fabales; Fabaceae. The record is from RNAcentral.
UUUUGAUAAGAGUGAUGAUGAAAAUCGACAACAGUCGAAAGGGUUUUGAUGAAAAUUGCUUAGGAUUUUUGCAUAGAGAAUGAUGAUGAAGUUAGAGCGUUAAUAGGUAAACAAAAAGUUAGAGACAAGUUCUUUGAAGUAUUUCAUGCAAAACAAUUUUUAGAGAAAAGCAAUUUGUAUUAAUUAAUUAAAAAUAAAAUAAAAAGCAAAAGGGCUAUAGCGCAAUAUUCUGGGAACGCAAUUAAAAGAUCUUUCACGCAGAUUUUCAAGGAAAACCGAGAUAUAUGAG